GCCGGUUUGGCUCAGUGAUAGAGCGCCGCCCUAGUACGACGGAGGCAAACAGUUCAACCUCACCGGCGCCA
This 71-nucleotide transfer RNA is filed under the name Bradyrhizobium sp. CCGE-LA001. Its description in RNAcentral is "tRNA-Thr". Lineage: Bacteria; Pseudomonadati; Pseudomonadota; Alphaproteobacteria; Hyphomicrobiales; Nitrobacteraceae. The record is from RNAcentral.